GACGAACGCUGGCGGCGUGCUUAACACAUGCAAGUGGAGCGACGAACCAGGGCUUGCCCUGGGGCAGAGCCGCGAACGGGUGAGUAACACGUGGGUAACCUGCCCAGAUGACCGGGACAACCCGAGGAAACUCGGGCUAAUACCGGAUGUGCUGUCCCCACAUCAGUGGGGUUAGGAAAGGUAGCUUCGGCUUCCGCAUCUGGAUGGGCCCGCGGCCCAUUAGCUUGUUGGUGAGGUAACGGCUCACCAAGGCUUCGAUGGGUAGCUGGUCUGAGGGGACGGUCAGCCGCACGGGAACUGAGACACGGCCCAGACUCCUACGGGAGGCAGCAGUGGGGAAUGUUGCGCAAUGCGCGAAAGCGUGACGCAGCAACGCCGCGUGCGGGAAGACGGCCUUCGGGUUGUAAACCGCUUUCAGUUGGGACGAAGCCUUUGCGGUUAAUAGCCGUGGAAGGUGACGGUACCUUCAGAAGAAGCCCCGGCUAACUACGUGCCAGCCGCCGCCGUAA
Molecule: ribosomal RNA, 509 nt
Filed under: uncultured bacterium
Lineage: Bacteria
Description: partial 16S ribosomal RNA
Rfam family: Bacterial small subunit ribosomal RNA
Source: RNAcentral